This 254-nucleotide ribosomal RNA is filed under the name uncultured bacterium. Its description in RNAcentral is "partial 16S ribosomal RNA". It matches the Rfam family "Bacterial small subunit ribosomal RNA", at positions 524 to 776 of the family's 1533-position model. The record is from RNAcentral.
UACGAAGGGUGCAAACGUUGCUCGGAAUUACUGGGCGUAAAGCGUACGUAGGCGGCGCGUUAAGUGAUAUGCGAAAUCCAGCGGCUCAACCGUUUGGACUGUAUACGAUACUGACGUGCUAGAGGAUGGCAGAGGCAAGUGGAAUUGGGAGUGUAGCAGUGAAAUGCGUAGAUAUUACCAGGAACACCAAUGGCGAAGGCAGCUGGCUGGGCCAGUUCUGACGCUGAGGUACGAAAGCGUGGGGAGCGAACAGG